This 254-nucleotide ribosomal RNA is filed under the name uncultured bacterium. RNAcentral's name for it is "partial 16S ribosomal RNA". It matches the Rfam family "Bacterial small subunit ribosomal RNA", at positions 524 to 776 of the family's 1533-position model. The record is from RNAcentral.
CACGUAGGCACCAAGCGUUAUCCGGAUUUAUUGGGCGUAAAGAGCUCGUAGGCGGUUCGGUAAGUCGGGUGUGAAAACUCUGGGCCCAACCCAGAGAGGCCACCCGAUACUGCUGUGACUAGAGUGCGGUAGGGGAGCGGGGAAUUCCUGGUGUAGCGGUGAAAUGCGCAGAUAUCAGGAGGAACACCAGCGGCGAAGGCGCCGCUCUGGGCCGUAACUGACGCUGAGGAGCGAAAGCCAGGGGAGCAAACGGG